This 468-nucleotide ribosomal RNA is filed under the name uncultured bacterium. RNAcentral describes it as "partial 16S ribosomal RNA". It matches the Rfam family "Bacterial small subunit ribosomal RNA", at positions 28 to 507 of the family's 1533-position model. The record is from RNAcentral.
GACGAACGCUGGCGGCGUGCUUAACACAUGCAAGUCGAACGGAAAGGCCCUGCUUUUGUGGGGUGCUCGAGUGGCGAACGGGUGAGUAACACGUGAGUAACCUGCCCUUGACUUUGGGAUAACUUCAGGAAACUGGGGCUAAUACCGGAUAGGAGCUCCUGCUGCAUGGUGGGGGUUGGAAAGUUUCGGCGGUUGGGGAUGGACUCGCGGCUUAUCAGCUUGUUUGUGGGGUAGUGGCUUACCAAGGCUUUGACGGGUAGCCGGCCUGAGAGGGUGACCGGCCACAUUGGGCCUGAGAUACGGCCCAGAAUCCUACGGGAGGCAGCAGUGGGGAAUAUUGCACAAUGGGCGGACGCCUGAUGCAGCAACGCCGCGUGCGGGAUGCCGGCCUUCGGGUUGUAAACCGCUUUCGCCUGUGACGAAGCGUGAGUGACGGUAAUGGGUAAAGAAGCACCGGCUAACUACGUG